CCAGGAGAUCCUGGUAAGCAGUGAGUUGAGAACCACUGGCCUUAUUAUCACACUGCAUCUUUCUCAUGAAGAAACCGAAAACCGAGGAGGCGAGCUGAUUUCUUUAUGGCUGGAGGAGGCCAGAGGUAAGAGUAGACCAAAGAUCUUUCCAAAGACCCUUGUACCUGUGAGCAACAGCCAUUCUCUGGUUUCACCCAAACUGCUGUGGCAUCUGACUCGCAUUGCAGUCUCCUUAAAAAUCCCUUUCUGUUCAGCUUAUUUUUUUUAUUUUUGGCAGCAAGUUGUGAUCUACUGUUUCACCCCAGAGAAUAUUUCUUGGUUCAUUUGAAAAAGUGAUGUGUCACAGGUCCUGUGUGGCCACACAGCCUGGGUGUGGGAGUCGAGGGUGAUUUGGACCCUUCUUCUCAGGUUGCAGUUGCUGCACUGAUCUCCUCCUGCUGAUUUCUUUGUGAUUUAAUUUACCCUUCCUCUCAUUAAACAAAAUAAAAUUAAAAAAAAAAAC
RNAcentral lists this long non-coding RNA (502 nucleotides) under Rattus norvegicus (Norway rat). Its description in RNAcentral is "long non-coding RNA NONRATT010214". Lineage: Eukaryota; Metazoa; Chordata; Mammalia; Rodentia; Muridae. The record is from RNAcentral.